GGGCCCGCACAAGCGGUGGAGCAUGUGGUUUAAUUCGAUGAUACGCGAGGAACCUUACCAGGGCUUAAAUGUAGUGGGACAGGUCUAGAGAUAGACCUUUCUUCGGACUCAUUACAAGGUGCUGCAUGGUUGUCGUCAGCUCGUUCCGUGAGGUGUCAGGUUAAGUCCUAUAACGAGCGCAACCCCUAUCGUUAGUUGCCAGCGGGUCAUGCCGGGAACUCUAGCGAGACUGCCGGUGCAAACCGUGAGGAAGGUGGGGAUGACGUCAAAUCAUCACGGCCCUUACGUCCUGGGCUACACACGUGCUACAAUGGCCGGUACAGAGAGCAGCCACUACGCGAGUAGGAGCGAAUCUUCAAAGCCGGUCUCAGUUCGGAUCGCAGUCUGCAACUCGACUGCGUGAAGCUGGAAUCGCUAGUAAUCG
RNAcentral lists this ribosomal RNA (424 nucleotides) under uncultured bacterium. Its description in RNAcentral is "bacterial SSU rRNA". It matches the Rfam family "Bacterial small subunit ribosomal RNA", at positions 917 to 1344 of the family's 1533-position model. The record is from RNAcentral.